UCCGUAGGUGGAUAAUUAAGUCAGAGGUGAAAUCCUGCAGCUCAACUGUAGAAUUGCCUUUGAUACUGGUUAUCUUGAGUCAUUAUGAAGUGGUUAGAAUGUGUAGUGUAGCGGUGAAAUGCAUAGAUAUUACACAGAAUACCGAUUGCGAAGGCAGAUCACUAAUAAUGUACUGACACUGAUGGACGAAAGCGUGGUGAGCGAACAGGAUUAGAUACCCUGGUAGUCC
RNAcentral lists this ribosomal RNA (229 nucleotides) under uncultured bacterium. RNAcentral's name for it is "partial 16S ribosomal RNA". It matches the Rfam family "Bacterial small subunit ribosomal RNA", at positions 568 to 796 of the family's 1533-position model. The record is from RNAcentral.